GCAUCUGGGCUAAAAAGGCAAAGGUGAUAGUGGAUGGGAGAACAACGAUCAAAACAUCUGGACCGGAGACAGAGAUCAACAAAACAACCAUACAACCAACUUCAGUGUCCAGAGACAGCCCAGAAUCUUCUCUGAGUACUGCGACAACAGGUAAGAUUCACAUCAUCUACAACCAACGACUGCUGCUUAGCAGUAACAAAAAACAAACCAACAUUUCAUGAAAUUGUGGACUACAGAGUUCAAGAAACACCACUUUGCUCUAUCAGAGCUGUGCUAUUCAUAACUGUGGGGAACAACAAAAUUUGCUCUUCUCCAGUAGAAGACUGGGUCCAGGAUUACAUACAGAACUUGAACAGAAGGAAAAAAACAAUAGACAAGAGAGAGUUUGCCAUCAAAAGAAUAAAAAACUCCAACACCAAUAAUUACUUUUGUCUAAAGAAGGAACAAUCUAAAUACUUUUGCUUCAAACAGCCUUAAAACAUCAGUUGGAAAAGCUUGGCCAACUUUGUAUGCCUGUAUAAUGAUAAUACCAGGAUAACUGAACUUCUAAGUCUAAUAAACGGAUAAGGUGAUGCUAGUGAAAAAUCAGCACUGUAGUUUCAGUCACAUUGUCAUAUUUGUAUUCAUGUUUUGUGCGAUAACUUCUAUUUUGUGUAUUGCCUUUUAUUAAUUUACUUAAUUUAAAAUCAAUGUAAGUAUCCAAAAAUAAUUUAACUAGUAACACAAAAUCUUAGGCUGAUGAAACAAGGGGCAACUUUUUUUUAGCAAUGUUGCUUGGACACUUUCCCAUUGAGAACGGGUAACAAAUACUUUAGAUCGGUAGUGGGCCCUGUGUCUCACCUGG
Long non-coding RNA from Sinocyclocheilus grahami, 844 nucleotides. RefSeq lists it as uncharacterized. The record is from RefSeq and is a predicted model, not a curated record. The transcript has 3 exons. Lineage: Eukaryota; Metazoa; Chordata; Actinopteri; Cypriniformes; Cyprinidae.